This 487-nucleotide ribosomal RNA is filed under the name uncultured Pseudomonadota bacterium. RNAcentral's name for it is "bacterial SSU rRNA". It matches the Rfam family "Bacterial small subunit ribosomal RNA", at positions 355 to 857 of the family's 1533-position model. The record is from RNAcentral. Lineage: Bacteria; Pseudomonadati; Pseudomonadota.
UGGGGAAUAUUGGACAAUGGGCGCAAGCCUGAUCCAGCAAUGCCGCGUGAGUGAUGAAGGCCUUCGGGUUGUAAAGCUCUUUCGCACGCGACGAUGAUGACGGUAGCGUGAGAAGAAGCCCCGGCUAACUUCGUGCCAGCAGCCGCGGUAAUACGAAGGGGGCUAGCGUUGUUCGGAAUUACUGGGCGUAAAGGGCGCGUAGGCGGUGUGUCAGGUCAGGCGUGAAAGCCCCGGGCUCAACCUGGGAACCGCGCUUGAGACUGGCACGCUAGAGUUCGGGAGAGGAUGGUGGAAUUCCCAGUGUAGAGGUGAAAUUCGUAGAUAUUGGGAAGAACACCGAUGGCGAAGGCAGCCAUCUGGACCGACACUGACGCUGAGGCGCGAAAGCGUGGGGAGCAAACAGGAUUAGAUACCCUGGUAGUCCACGCCGUAAACGAUGAGUGGCUAGACGUUGGGGCCCUCGAGGGCUUCGGUGUCGCAGCUAACG